Molecule: ribosomal RNA, 253 nt
Filed under: uncultured bacterium
Lineage: Bacteria
Description: partial 16S ribosomal RNA
Rfam family: Bacterial small subunit ribosomal RNA
Source: RNAcentral
UACGGAGGGUGUAAGCGUUGUUCGGAAUUACUGGGCGUAAAGGGCUCGUAGGCGGCCAACUAAGUCAGACGUGAAAUCCCUCAGCUUAACUGGGGAACUGCGUCUGAUACUGGAUGGCUUGGAUCCGGGAGAGGGAUGCGGAAUUCCAGGUGUAGCGGUGAAAUGCGUAGAUAUCAUGAGGAAUACCAGAGGCGAAGGCGGCUACCUGGACAAUUGCUGACGCUCAGGCACGAAAGCGUGGGGAGCAAAAGGG